AAAGGGUGCGUAGGUGGUCAUUUAAGUCUGAUUUGAAAGCAGGCGGCUUAACCGUCUGAUGUGGUUGGAAACUGAAUGACUUGAAUGGGUUGGCGGUAGCCGGAAUGGGUCAUGUAGCGGUGAAAUGCAUAGAUAUGACCCGGAACACCGAUUGCGAAGGCAGGCUACUACGACUUGAUUGACACUGAGGCACGAGAGCAUGGGUAGCGAACAGGAUUAGAUACCCUAGU
RNAcentral lists this ribosomal RNA (230 nucleotides) under uncultured bacterium. RNAcentral describes it as "partial 16S ribosomal RNA". It matches the Rfam family "Bacterial small subunit ribosomal RNA", at positions 562 to 791 of the family's 1533-position model. The record is from RNAcentral.